GUGCCAGCCGCCGCGGUAAUACCGGCAGCUCAAGUGAUGGCCGAUCUUAUUGGGCCUAAAGCGUCCGUAGCUGGCCUCGCAAGUCCGUCGAGAAAUCCAUCAGCCCAACUGAUGGGCGUCCGGCGGAAACUACAAGGCUUGGGACCGGAAGGCUCGAGGGGUACGUCUGGGGUAGGAGUGAAAUCCCGUAAUCCCGAACGGACCACCGAUGGCGAAAGCACCUCGAGAAGACGGACCCGACAGUGAGGGACGAAAGCUGGGAUCUCGAACCGGAUUAGAAACCCCGGUAGUCC
RNAcentral lists this ribosomal RNA (293 nucleotides) under uncultured bacterium. RNAcentral describes it as "partial 16S ribosomal RNA". It matches the Rfam family "Archaeal small subunit ribosomal RNA", at positions 455 to 747 of the family's 1478-position model. The record is from RNAcentral.